RNAcentral lists this ribosomal RNA (472 nucleotides) under uncultured bacterium. Its description in RNAcentral is "bacterial SSU rRNA". It matches the Rfam family "Bacterial small subunit ribosomal RNA", at positions 355 to 825 of the family's 1533-position model. The record is from RNAcentral.
UGGGGAAUAUUGGACAAUGGGCGAAAGCCUGAUCCAGCCAUGCCGCGUGUGUGAAGAAGGUCUUCGGAUUGUAAAGCACUUUAAGUUGGGAGGAAGGGCAGUAAGUUAAUACCUUGCUGUUUUGACGUUACCGACAGAAUAAGCACCGGCUAACUCUGUGCCAGCAGCCGCGGUAAUACAGAGGGUGCAAGCGUUAAUCGGAAUUACUGGGCGUAAAGCGCGCGUAGGUGGUUUGUUAAGUUGGAUGUGAAAUCCCCGGGCUCAACCUGGGAACUGCAUUCAAAACUGACUGACUAGAGUAUGGUAGAGGGUGGUGGAAUUUCCUGUGUAGCGGUGAAAUGCGUAGAUAUAGGAAGGAACACCAGUGGCGAAGGCGACCACCUGGACUGAUACUGACACUGAGGUGCGAAAGCGUGGGGAGCAAACAGGAUUAGAUACCCACGUAGUCCCUGAGCGGGCUGGCAAGGCGCAU